UCGAGCGGCAGCACAGCAGUAGCAAUACUGUGGGUGGCGAGCGGCGGACGGGUGAGGAACACAUCGGAAUCUACCCUGUCGUGGGGGACAACGUAGGGAAACUUACGCUAAUACCGCAUACGACCUUUGGGUGAAAGUGGGGGACCCGCAAGGGCCUCACGCGAUUGGAUGAGCCGAUGUCCGAUUAGCUAGUUGGCGGGGUAAUGGCCCACCAAGGCGACGAUCGGUAGCUGGUCUGAGAGGACGACCAGCCACACUGGAACUGAGACACGGUCCAGACUCCUACGGGAGGCAGCAGUGGGGAAUAUUGGACAAUGGGGGCAACCCUGAUCCAGCCAUGCCGCGUGGGUGAAGAAGGCCUUCGGGUUGUAAAGCCCUUUUGUNCGGGAAGAAAAGCGUGCGGGUAAUAUCCGUGCGUCAUGACGGUACCGUAAGAAUAANCACCGGCUAACUUCGUGC
Molecule: ribosomal RNA, 459 nt
Filed under: uncultured Gammaproteobacteria bacterium
Lineage: Bacteria; Pseudomonadati; Pseudomonadota; Gammaproteobacteria
Description: bacterial SSU rRNA
Rfam family: Bacterial small subunit ribosomal RNA
Source: RNAcentral